Molecule: long non-coding RNA, 444 nt
Filed under: Pongo abelii (Sumatran orangutan)
Lineage: Eukaryota; Metazoa; Chordata; Mammalia; Primates; Hominidae
Description: lincRNA
Source: RNAcentral
CUUUGUGUUCAUGUGCAUUCAAUGUUUAGCUGUCACUUAUAGGUGAGAACAUGGAGUAUUUGGUUUUCUCUUUCUGUUUAGCUCAUUUAGGAUAGUGGCCUCCAGCUCCAUCCACGUUCUGACAAAGAAAACCAUGUUAGGAGUUUGAUUAAGAUGGCUGAGAAAGACAGCAAAUCUACAGGGUUUGUCAAAGAUCAGAUCGUUGUCAUGGCAUGACAAGGAUGACCUUUCCAGCCUACAAUACCUGCUUGACCACUAAGACCAAACAGCUCAAAUUAAAGUGAUUCAAGGACAGACUCAUAAUCUAAGGCAAAGCAAUAAGUUAUCAGGAGACUCAAUACCUGCGUAUCUCUCAACCAUUGGAAAAAGUGAAUAUUCUUUGAAUCUGGAUGUGAAUGAGAAAAUAUACAACCCCAGGAGCUGCUAGAACCCAUCUUGAGUUUA